Molecule: long non-coding RNA, 6081 nt
Filed under: Gossypium barbadense (sea-island cotton)
Lineage: Eukaryota; Viridiplantae; Streptophyta; Magnoliopsida; Malvales; Malvaceae
Description: long non-coding RNA (GBAR_LNC007172)
Source: RNAcentral
CUGGAUACCAAUAUCUUGUGUCUUUUCACGUCAAUCACCCCAACCAUUAAUUAUAGCAAGUUUUCACAAAUUGAAAUGAAUUCUUAUCUACUACCAUUUGUUUCCCAACCUUUCAUUUCUUCAUUUGCUUAGUCCGAAGGCUUUAGCCGAGGGUUCUCCAACACUUGACGAGCCGAAUCUGGAAUUCCUCCCAUCAGGUAAAAACUCUCUCUUCUCUUAGGGCCUCCUUUGCGAUAACAUGUGCGCAGAUAUUCUCUGCUUUAGGGAGAUAAUAGAACUCGAUCUCCUGGAAUCUAUCUUUUCUGCUUUGAAUAUCCCUGAUAAUGGCUCCAAUGACCGAUUUAUCUAUACUAGUACUCUGGCAUUUCUUAAUGACAGUUUUCGAGUCCCCCACUUCUUUUAUUUUAUUUAAUCCCAUAAGAAUCCCUAAUUUUACUGCCUGUAACCCUGCAUAUGCCUCUGCCAUGAAUGGAGUUGCUGUUUCGGAGUGUAUGACUGCUUUUGAUGCAAAGAUCUCUCCCUCCUCAUUCCGUACAAGCAAACCCGUAGCCGAUCUGGACGAUUAACAGUCAAAUGCUGCAUCAAAAUUAACUGUGACCCUUCCUCUUCUACAUGCCUGUUGGGUAUUUUCAGCAGAUUAAAGAGUAAGUUUUCUCUCUUUUAUUGUAUCCAACUCUGCGAUAUAGUUUCGAGUUUGCCUUGCUAUUUUGAUUCUUGUCGUAUUUCUUCUUUCAUAUAGUAAUCGGUUUUUGCUGAACCAGAUUAACCAGAGUCCACAACAAAAAGUCAGAUUUGCUUAGUAGUCCCUUGGUCGAAGAUCCAGUUAAACCAUUCCCAUAUAUUCAGAUUGUUAUGGUUUAAUACCCAUGUUAGACUUAACUGGUUCCAUACCUCAACUAUUGUAGGGCACUGUUGAAAAAUAUGAAUGCUGUCUUCUUCUCUUUGGCGACAUCGAGGGAAUUGAGCUUCCACCACAACCUUCUUGAGCCUUAUAUUGACAAGGGACGGAAUGAAGUUCCAUGCAAAUCACCAUACCGUAAUCCGUAUUUUUGAGGGGAUGUAUAAUUUCCAUAGUUUCCUAUAAAAGGUUUUAAUUUCAGCAUGUAAAGUAAAAUUAUUAGGAUCCAAGCUAGUUUCAUGUAAUAGUUUAUAGGGACUCGUAACGGAGAAUUCCCCUGUCAACUCCCCUCUCCAUACUUGAAAAUCCUCGUGUGUUGUCUCUGCUAGUGAAAUCUUUAAGAUUUUUUUUUCUAUAUCCAUUCAAAAGGUAUUCCUUACGACCUUUGUUUUCCAGCUUCUAUUAUUGGCUUCUAUUAGAUCCGACACUAACUUGAUAUUUUCAAUGUUAUCUUGAUACGGUACUCUAUCUUCUUCGUUUCUUGAUAUCCACAAAUCAUCCCAAACAGAUAUUUGAUCACCUCUCCCAACCCUCUUGCAUAAGCCUUUCUCCAAAAGCCCUCUCGCGGCCCAAACACUCUUCCAGGUGAGCGAAGGUAAAUUUUCUAACCGAGCUUUGUAGAAAUUUGAAUUAGGAUAAUAUUUUGCCUUCAAAACGUGAGCUAAUAUUGAAUUUGGAUAAUUAACAAGACGCCAUCCUUGCUUUGCUAAUAACGCAAUAUUAAACUUCGCAAGAUCUCGAAAACCAAGGCCACCUCCUUCUUUUAAUAAGCAUAGAUCUUUCCAAGCACACCAAUGAAUACAUUUCCUAUUACGACCCUUUUGCCACCAGAAUUUGGCUAUUAUCCUUUCCAAUUCAGAACAUGGAACCUUAGGAAGUAAAAAGCAAGACAUCGUAUAAGUUGGGAUAGAUUGGAGUAUAGCUUUGAUAAAAACUUCCUUCCUUCCCUGGGAGGGAUAUUUUAUACUCCAAAUGUCAAUUCAUUAUUUAUAUUUAUCCAUCAAAUUUUGAAAAACGACCGCUUCCUUCUACCCACCAUAUUGGGAACUACUGGAUAUCGUUCCGGAUCAGUUGAUUUUCUUACUCCAAGAAUCUGUGAAACUACAACCUUUUCCUUUUCUUAUGUAUUGGUACUGAAGAAAACAGACGAUUUAUCAUAAUUGACACAUUGGCCUGAACUCAUAUCAUACUCAUUCAAGAUUUGUUUUAGAGAAUGUGCUUCCCUUUCAGUAGUUUCUGCAAAUAAGAUACAGUCAUCGGCAAAGAGUAGAUAAGAGAUGGCUGGCCCACUUCGACUAGCUUUAACUUCUUUAAGGAUGUUUCUUGCUUUUGCAAGCCUCAUUAGACUUGAGAGCCCUUCCCCACAAAAUAAAAAUAAAAACGGACUUAAAGGGUCUCCUUGUCUAAGGCCUCUAGAUAGAAGAAAAGUUUCUCCUAUAUUUCCAUUUAAAACUAUAGAAUAUGAUACUAUAGACACACAUUUUAUUAACAAAUCAACCCAUCCUAGAUCAAAUCCCAUUUUCUUCAUUACCCCCUCCACAAAAUUCCAUUCAACCCUAUCAUUGGCCUUACUUAUGUCCAGUUUCACAGCCAUAAGCCCUUUUUUCCCUCUCUGUUUGUGUUUUAAAGUGUGCAGAAUUUCAUAUGCUAGUAGCACAUUAUAGAAAAUCAGCCUCCCUGGAACAAAAGCACUUUGUGCUGAAUCGAUACAUUUAUGAAUCACUACCCGAAGCGAUUAGCAAUGACCUUAGCUAUCAAUUUAUAAAGCACAUUGCAUAAACUAAUUGGUCUAAAUUGUGAAAUACUGGAAGGAUUCGUAAUUUUUGAGAUUAACAUAAUAUUUUACUUUACAAAAAUUUAUAUAAUUUUAAUUACAAUUAAAUAGUGUAAAAUUUCAAAAUUAUGAAUAUGGAAUAAGAUUUUUACUUUACAAAAAUGAAAAUAAAUAUUUAAUAGAUAAUUCUUUUAGUAUAAAUAUAUAUUUAAUGAAUUUUUAAUAAUUUAUUUUUUAAAUUUUGUACAUAUAGAAAAAAAAAACUUUUCUAUGACAUAGUUCCAGUAUUUUAAUUUAUUUUUCUUAUAACUUUAAAGUAUAUUUUUUAAAUAUAAUAUGAAGGUUAAAUAAACUAAUGUAAUUUUAAAACUUUAAAUAAUAAAUAUUUUUAAUUAUUGGCAAUUUAAAUUUAUUUUGAUCAUUAAAUUAAAUUUCUUUUUAAUUAUUUUAAAUUGUUUCAAAAUUGUACCUAUUUCUUUUAUAUUUAAUAAAUAAUAGCUUAUUAUUAAAAUUUUAAAAGCAAAUAAUCAUAAAUUAUUAGUCACUUUUGUUUACCUCAGGCUACAUUUUAGUUAAUUACGUUAUCGCAUUGUAAUAUUUUAGUCACUUGCGUUAUCGCAUUUUAACAUUUUAGUCACUGAAUUUUUAAUGGUGUAAUGGUAAGCUAAUGUGGCACGUUAAAUCAUCAUUUUAAACAAAAAUUUUAGGUUAAUUUAUACAAUCGGUCCCUGUAUUUUUUCGUUUUAAGCAAUUUACUUUUUUAUUUUAUGUGCUUUUAACUUUCUUUCUUUUUUUCUUUAUUUUCCAUUCUUUUCUAUUUCUCCCUCUAUUUUCCUUCAUUCUCCAUUUCUUUUAACGUAGUUUUUCUAUGUUUUCCAUUUGUUAAAACUAGUCCCCUAUACUUUUAGUUUUUUGAACAAUUUAAUUUUUUGAGUGAGACAAGUUUGCGAACUAGUUUUAACAAAUGAAAAACAUAGAAAACUACAUUAAAUGAAAUGGAGAAGGGAGGAAAAUAGAGGGAGAAGCAAAAGAGAAUGGAAAAUGAAGAAAAAAAAAGAAAGUUAAAAGAACAUAAAAGAAAAAAAUUUAAAUUGCUCAAAAUGAACAAAAUAUAGUGACCAAUUGUAGAAUUUAACCAAAAAUUUUCAUUUGAAAUGAUAAUUUAACAUGCCACGUAAGCAUACUGUUAUACUGUUAAUGGUAAUUAACGACUCAGUGACUAAAAUGUUACAACACAAUAACGUAAGUGACUAAAACAUAACAUUUCAAACAAAAAUAACUAAAAUGCAACCCGAGGCAAAUAAAAAUGACAAUUUUGGUAGUUUAACCUUUUAUUUAUAUGGUUAUUUAUAUAUAUAUAUAUUUCUUUUUUAUUAUUAAGUUAUAUUUAAAUAUGUUGGUAUACUUAAAUUAAGAUUUAAUAAUAUUUAUAAUGUCUUUUUGUUGUAUUAAAAUUUAUUAAUAAUAAUAUUAAAUUAUAAGAUAAUUAUUUUAUUAUUUAUUAAUAUUUUAAGUAAUUAAAAUUUUUGUGUAUAUAUUAAAAAAAUAAAAUGCAUCCCAUGGGUAACAAGCUAAUAUAAUAGUAUAUUAUAGUAAAAGCCUUUGAUAGAAUCCUAUAAUGAUGACAAAAACUCUUAUAGGUAUAUUUUACUAAAUUAAUUAAAAUAAUGAAGGUUAACAUUUACUUAUUAUUAUUUUUGUUUACCUUAUCUCUGAAAAAAAAAGUAAUAAAAUUUUAAUUCCAUAAUUGAUAUAUGGAAUAAUUUUUUCGCCAAAUUUUCAUUUAUGAAUAUUGAACUUUUAAAAUGCUUUUAUGGAGAAGAUAUUCACCUUUAAAUUUCCAUAAUCUAUAAUUUGCUUAAGAUUUAUAUUUUGAUCUAUAUGUAUAGGUUUAAUAUCAAUGUAUAUUAAUUUUAGUACAAUAUAAAAAUUACUUUAAUAUUACAUAUAUUUUUUAAUAUAUUAUUUGUCAAAUACUUUAGUUUAAUUUCUUACUUAUAUUAUUUUUAAACCGCUUAAUUUUAAAAAUAAUAAUAUGAAUUAAUUUAAUAUAUUUUAAUUAUUAAAUACAAUAAAUUUUAUUUAAUAUUUUAGUUAUAGUGUAAAGGCUAAAUUAAUUAUUAACCAUUGAGUUAAUGCACCAUACUAUCAUUUUGUUAAGGGGUAAUGAAAAUUAAUGGAUGAGUGAAAAAAUAUAAUAAUAUAAUAAUACUGGUGACCAUUAUAUAUAUAACUUUUGAAUAUUGGUUAACCGAAAUAUAAUCUUAACUUUAAUCAAGUGACCAUUUCAAUAAUUUACCAUUUAAAAUUAUAAAAGAAGAAGAAGAAGAUAGAUUUGCCCAACUAUAUAAAAGAGUCAAGCUGUGACAUCAUCAUCAUUUUUAAAAUAUAUAUAUAAGCUGAGUUUUUGACGAAAUUUGGAAAAAUUGUUGGCCAAAUGACUAAAACUAUAUAUUUAGAAAAGUAAAUAAAAAUAAAAAUAUCAAUUUAUAAUAAAAAAAGUAAAAUAAAAAGGUUCUCUAAAAAAUUUGACCCACUAAAAAUUGCUACAAAUUUUAGGCCAUGGAACAAAAUGAAUGUACCUGAUAAUGAUUGUUGCUUCUAAUCUUAAGUAAGAAUACGUAGGACUUUCGUGAGUGGGCGUUGUGGCUUGGUCCCUUAUAAAUCUAUUCAUGGACUGGGUAGGGUUAUUUAUGGAUCGGCUAAGAUGUUUAUCUUACUAGGUCUAAACUAAUAUUUACAUAAUAAAGUUGAUUUUUUUUUAAUUUUUCAUCCAUUUUAAACUUAUGUAUAAUAUUUAUUAUAGAAUUUAUCUUUUAAUUUUUUUUUUGUUUCAAACAGGCAAAACAAUCUAUCCGAACCCAGCCCAUGUUUGGUCUCAAUAAAGUCUAAAAAAGAAAAAAAGAUCUUUAAACAGUUGGGUGUAUCCUACUCAAUGUUCAAUGCGAGAGAAAGAGAUCAUACUUUCCAAGAGUUCAAUACAAUAAGAGGGUAAAUUGAAGGGUUGCAAUGACGAAUGAAGAUGAUGGAACAACACGAGGAUGCUUAGAACACAAAUAGAAGGCAAAAUGUCAAUAAGCACGAAGCUGAGGAAAUUUCCCAAGCAUCACACCUCCAUAGGUGUAAUAAUGUUUCUCCACUUCCAUUUCCACGGCAAGAUAAUAUGAACGAUUUAAAGAAGAAGAAGAAGUCGAUUUGCUUUGUAGAUACAGUAUUCCAUCCAUAUUUGAUGUGCUAUUUUGGAAUACGAUAUGCCCACUAAACUUGAUUUUAAUCAUUGAAAUCCAAAGCCCAUAAAAUAUUUCAUAUGUUGGAAUUAAUCAUGUUUUGGGAUAGUCUUUGGUUUGGGCCUGAUACGUUUAUUGAACUCGUUCUAUCAAUUUUGCAAUUUUAUUUUCAUUGUUUUGGG